CCCUUAGAUGUUCUGGGCUGCACGCGCGCUACACUGAAGCGUUCAACGAGUAUUCACCUUGCCCGGGAGGGUUGGGUAAUCUUUUGAAAACGCUUCGUGAUGGGGAUAGAUUAUUGCAAUUAUUAAUCUUCAACGAGGAAUUCCUAGUAAGCGCGAGUCAUCAGCUCGUGCUGAUUACGUCCCUGCCCUUUGUACACACCGCCCGUCGCCCCUACCGAUUGAGUGAUCCGGUGAAUAAUUCGGACUGCAGCACUGCUUGGUCUCCAGGCUUUGCAGCGGAAAGUUUAGUGAACCUUAUCACUUAGAGGAAGGAGAAGUCGUANCA
RNAcentral lists this ribosomal RNA (325 nucleotides) under uncultured eukaryote. Its description in RNAcentral is "partial 18S ribosomal RNA". It matches the Rfam family "Eukaryotic small subunit ribosomal RNA", at positions 1470 to 1796 of the family's 1831-position model. The record is from RNAcentral.